UGGGGAAUUUUGGACAAUGGGCGAAAGCCUGAUCCAGCAAUGCCGCGUGUGUGAAGAAGGCCUUCGGGUUGUAAAGCACUUUUGUCCGGAAAGAAAUCCUUGGCUCUAAUACAGUCGGGGGAUGACGGUACCGGAAGAAUAAGCACCGGCUAACUACGUGCCAGCAGCCGCGGUAAUACGUAGGGUGCAAGCGUUAAUCGGAAUUACUGGGCGUAAAGCGUGCGCAGGCGGUUUGCUAAGACCGAUGUGAAAUCCCCGGGCUCAACCUGGGAACUGCAUUGGUGACUGGCAGGCUAGAGUAUGGCAGAGGGGGGUAGAAUUCCACGUGUAGCAGUGAAAUGCGUAGAGAUGUGGAGGAAUACCGAUGGCGAAGGCAGCCCCCUGGCAAGUACUGACGCUCAUGCACGAAAGCGUGGGGAGCAAACAGGAUUAGAUACCCCUGGUAGUCCACGCCCUAAACGAUGUCAACUAGUUGUUGGGGAUUCAUUUCCUUAGUAACGUAGCUAACGCGUGAAGUUGACCGCCUGGGGAGUACGGUCGCAAGAUUAAAACUCAAAUGAAUUGAC
Molecule: ribosomal RNA, 566 nt
Filed under: uncultured bacterium
Lineage: Bacteria
Description: partial 16S ribosomal RNA
Rfam family: Bacterial small subunit ribosomal RNA
Source: RNAcentral